This is a small nuclear RNA of Pygocentrus nattereri (red-bellied piranha), 189 nucleotides long. Its record names the gene U2. It matches the Rfam family "U2 spliceosomal RNA". Rfam says of the family: U2 is a small nuclear RNA (snRNA) component of the spliceosome (involved in pre-mRNA splicing). Complementary binding between U2 snRNA (in an area lying towards the 5' end but 3' to hairpin I) and the branchpoint sequence (BPS) of the intron results the bulging out of an unpaired adenosine, on the BPS, which initiates a nucleophilic attack at the intronic 5' splice site, thus starting the first of two transesterification reactions that mediate splicing. NCBI's taxonomy places the organism in Eukaryota, Metazoa, Chordata, Actinopteri, Characiformes, Serrasalmidae. The record is from Ensembl.
CUGGCUCCUCGGCCUUUUGGGUAAGAUCAAGUGUAGUAUCUGUUCUUAUCAGUUUAAUAUCUGAUAUGUCCUCUAUAUGAGGGCUACAUAUUAAAUUGAUCUUUAGAACAGGGAGAUGGAAGAGGGGCUUGCUCCAUCCGCUCCACCCUUUUUGGGGGCAGUCGUGGGCUGGGGGUUAGGGAACUGGCC